CCUUUCUCUCUUUCCCAGCCAUGGCCUCUCAGCCACCAGUCACCUCUUCCCCCAACCCCCUGACCUCCCACUUCUCUUCUCAAUUCAACUGCUCUUCAGGAUUUCUGGUUGCACUACCUCUGGAGACAAGACUCUAGCAUUUGUUCUUGUAAGUUAAUCUUUUCUUAGUCCCUUUGCCUUGUUCUCCUUUCUUUGCUUCCCCUACUCACCAGGGAAGUUUCCACUUCACUCCCUACCCUCCUAUGUGCUCCUUCUUUGCCUCCUUGAUAUCCAGCUCGAAGCCCAUAUUCUCCAGAAAGAGAAAAUUUUUUUGGGAGACCGAGAUCUUCCUCUUCCCUGAGUCCCCUACCAAUGAUUCUCUCCCUCUUGUGGGUUUCUGCAGGGCUAGCAGUGCAUCCAUCAAACCAUUAGGGCCUCCAUGUGGAGAGGCCAGUUGGCUCCCUUUUUAGGAAGCUCUGCCCUUCCCUUCCAGCAGACCCAGAGUGGAAAGGGCCCAGGGUCCCUGCCUUAAGCUUUGUCAAGGGUGCCAUAUGUCAAGGGUGCCAUAUGAUGUUUUGUCUUGGGCCCAAGGGGCCUCAAACUGUAAGGAAAAACCCUCUCUGAUGGUUUCCUGGCUCAGACUUCUGCAAUUAACAGGACUUCUGCAACUAACCACCUUCUUGUCUGCCCACAUACAUGAUACUGACCUUCUUUUAUUCUCUCCUCUGUACAGAGUUACCUGACCCUCAGGAAGAUUUAGGCUUUUUUUUUUUCUCCCAUCUCACCUUGUAUAAAUAUGUCUUCUCAGUAUAGUAAUGUCAUUGGAUUGAGGAUACUUGUUUGCAGAGGAGGCAAGAAUGCGUUGUUCCGUUUUUGAAUUCCACACAUCUAAUAUGGAGCCUGAGCCACAGGGCUCAAAAUGUUAAGUAAACAAAUGAAUGGGAAAUUAAUAAGAAGAAUGCAUUGGCAAGACCGUGAAGGUACAUUUCUAGGAGUGAAUGUGAGUCUGUCGGACCAUGUGGCAAUGUGUAUUUGUAAUUCUUUUUAAAUGCACAAGUUUGAGGACUGUGUUGAGUAUUGGGUAGUAUCUCUUUGAAGUGUAUUUUUUACUUGACUGUGCUUUUAAAUAAAGAAUGGCUGUGUCAGUAUGAUCUUGGCUAUGUCUAAUUACUAUUUUUGUGAAGGCCUGCCAUGGGAAGCUUUGGGAAGAAGCCAGCUGCCAUGUUGUGAGAACUCUCAAGCAGCUGUGUGGAGAGAUCCAUGUGGUGAGGAACUGAAGCCUCCUACCCACCAUCAAGUCAGUGGCUCACUACUGUUGCAGUGAAUUCUCCAGCCCAUGAAGACUUUAGAUGAUUUACCCAACAUCUUGAUUAUAGCCUCAUGGAUUCCCUGAGCCAGAACAACCCAGCUAAGCCUCUCCUGAAUUCCUUACCUACAGAAACUGUGAGAUAAUAAAUAUUUAUUCUUUUAAGCCAUCA
RNAcentral lists this long non-coding RNA (1457 nucleotides) under Homo sapiens (human). Its description in RNAcentral is "HSALNT0016178". Lineage: Eukaryota; Metazoa; Chordata; Mammalia; Primates; Hominidae. The record is from RNAcentral.